GAUGAACGCUGGCGGCGUGCCUAAUACAUGCAAGUCGAACGCUGGAAAUCUAGCUUGCUAGAUUGAAGGAGUGGCGAACGGGUGAGUAAUACAUAAGCAACCUACCCACGAAGACUGGGAUAAUCUCUGGAAACGGGGACUAAUACCGGAUAGGUAAUCGGAAGGCAUCUUCUGAUUAUUAAAGGUUAAAAACACUGGUGGAUGGGCUUAUGGCGCAUUAGUUAGUUGGUGAGGUAACGGCCCACCAAGACGAUGAUGCGUAGCCGGCCUGAGAGGGUGAACGGCCACAUUGGGACUGAGACACGGCCCAGACUCCUACGGGAGGCAGCAGUAGGGAAUUUUCGGCAAUGGGGGAAACCCUGACCGAGCAACGCCGCGUGAGUGAGGACGGCCUUCGGGUUGUAAAGCUCUGUUGUAAGGGAAGAACGGUAGAUAUAGAAUAUCUAAAUGACGGUACCUUACCAGAAAGCCACGGCUAACUACGUG
RNAcentral lists this ribosomal RNA (486 nucleotides) under uncultured bacterium. Its description in RNAcentral is "partial 16S ribosomal RNA". It matches the Rfam family "Bacterial small subunit ribosomal RNA", at positions 28 to 507 of the family's 1533-position model. The record is from RNAcentral.